UGGGGGAUAUUGCACAAUGGGCGAAAGCCUGAUGCAGCGACGCCGCGUGGGGGAUGAAGGCCUUCGGGUUGUAAACUUCUUUUGCUCUGAACAAGGCGCACCAUGGGGUGUGUUGAGUGUAGGGGUUGAUUAGCGCCGGCUAACUACGUGCCAGCAGCCGCGGUAAUACGUAGGGCGCGAGCGUUGUCCGGAAUUAUUGGGCGUAAAGGGCUUGUAGGUGGCUGGUUGCGUCUGUCGUGAAAGCUCAUGGCUUAACUGUGGGUUUGCGGUGGGUACGGGCUGGCUUGAGUGCAGUACGGGAGGCUGGACUUCCUGGUGUAGCGGUGGAAUGCUCAUAUAUCAGUAGGAAUACCGGUGGCGAAGGCGGGUCUCUGGGCUGUUACUGACACUAAGAAGCGUAAGCAUGGGGAGCGAACAGG
RNAcentral lists this ribosomal RNA (419 nucleotides) under bacterium. RNAcentral describes it as "partial 16S ribosomal RNA". It matches the Rfam family "Bacterial small subunit ribosomal RNA", at positions 355 to 776 of the family's 1533-position model. The record is from RNAcentral.